AGCCCACCAGCGGUAUGGGGCCACAAAUCCAUAUGGGGCCAUUUUGCUGGGCCCCACAACGUUUAGUGCUUUAGCGUGCAUCAGGAGCCUACCCUGAUGCUCCUCAUGCUUUUUUCUCACUUUGUCCAGGAAGUGACCAAGAGUGGAAAUGUGUGUGUGAAGUGUGUGUGCUCUCUGCCCCCCUGGAGGUGGGAGGAUGCCAUUGCAGCCACACACACACUUCCGGAAGUGUGUGUGAUAUUAGCCAAUAAUGUUCAAGACUAUUAAGCGUCAUAGUCUCGCGGGAUUUUACGGGAUUUGUUUGAGAGCUACUGUAAACACGGCUAAUACUGACAACACAGACCGAUGCUGUAACAACUGAACCUCAAAUGAUUAAGAGCAAUGACAUCCAAAAGGAAGGCCCGGAUAAAGCCUGUUGAAGAUGCAAUCUCAUAUAUUCUGUCAGCUGGAGACAAGCCAUGGUUUGCAGUGAGAUUUAUCAAUAAUAUCAAAGGAAGAGGAGUGUUUGCUACCGAACCAAUCGAGCAAGGUUCUUUUGUGUUGGAGUACAGGGGUGAAUUCAUAUCAGCAGAAGAAUGCAGAUCAAGGAACUACUCAGAGACACAGAGUACAUUUCUGUAUGACUUUG
Long non-coding RNA from Centropristis striata (black sea bass), 628 nucleotides. RefSeq lists it as uncharacterized. Lineage: Eukaryota; Metazoa; Chordata; Actinopteri; Perciformes; Serranidae. The transcript is spliced from 3 exons. The record is from RefSeq and is a predicted model, not a curated record.